UCCCAGGUGGUCUAGUGGCUGAAGGUGCCGCGCUCUCUCUGCCGUCUCCCGGGUUCAAUUCCCGGGCAGGGAA
Non-coding RNA from Pangasius djambal, 73 nucleotides. The record is from the annotation of a GenBank genome assembly. NCBI's taxonomy places the organism in Eukaryota, Metazoa, Chordata, Actinopteri, Siluriformes, Pangasiidae.